This is a microRNA precursor of Nicotiana attenuata, 127 nucleotides long. It matches the Rfam family "mir-172 microRNA precursor family". Rfam says of the family: mir-172 has been experimentally verified in Arabidopsis thaliana. Lineage: Eukaryota; Viridiplantae; Streptophyta; Magnoliopsida; Solanales; Solanaceae. The record is from Rfam.
UUACUUGCAGCUGCAGCAUCAUCAAGAUUCACAUAGAAAUCAUGUGGAGCAGAAAAUAUAUUUCUAAAAAUCUGCCCCCUAAGUUUUUUGAACGUGAGAAUCUUGAUGAUGCUGCAUCAGCAAAUGA